This 489-nucleotide ribosomal RNA is filed under the name uncultured bacterium. RNAcentral's name for it is "bacterial SSU rRNA". It matches the Rfam family "Bacterial small subunit ribosomal RNA", at positions 30 to 518 of the family's 1533-position model. The record is from RNAcentral.
AUUGAACGCUGGCGGCAUGCCUUACACAUGCAAGUCGAACGGUAACAGGUCUUCGGAUGCUGACGAGUGGCGAACGGGUGAGUAAUACAUCGGAACGUGCCCGAUCGUGGGGGAUAACGGAGCGAAAGCUUUGCUAAUACCGCAUACGAUCUACGGAUGAAAGCAGGGGACCGCAAGGCCUUGCGCGGACGGAGCGGCCGAUGGCAGAUUAGGUAGUUGGUGGGAUAAAAGCUUACCAAGCCGACGAUCUGUAGCUGGUCUGAGAGGACGACCAGCCACACUGGGACUGAGACACGGCCCAGACUCCUACGGGAGGCAGCAGUGGGGAAUAUUGGUCAAUGGGCGCAAGCCUGAACCAGCCAUCCCGCGUGAAGGAAGAAUGCGCUACGCGUUGUAAACUUCUUUUCCAGGGGGAGAAUAAUCCUGUCGUGACAGGACUUGACGGUACUCUGGGAAUAAGCAUCGGCUAACUCCGUGCCAGCAGCCGAC